Molecule: ribosomal RNA, 484 nt
Filed under: uncultured bacterium
Lineage: Bacteria
Description: partial 16S ribosomal RNA
Rfam family: Bacterial small subunit ribosomal RNA
Source: RNAcentral
AGUGAACGCUGGCGGCAGGCCUAACACAUGCAAGUCGAGCGGAUGAAGGGAGCUUGCUCCUGGAUUCAGCGGCGGACUGGUGAGUAAUGCCUAGGAAUCUGCCUGUUAGUGGGGGAUAACGUCCGGAAACGGGCGCUAAUACGGCAUACGUCCUGAGGGCGUACGUGUGGGAGCUUCGGACCUCACGCUAUCAGAUGAGCCUAGGUCGGAUUAGCUAGUUGGUGGGGUAAAGGCCUACCAAGGCGACGAUCCGUAACUGGUCUGAGAGGAUGAUCAGUCACACUGGAACUGAGACACGGUCCAGACUCCUACGGGAGGCAGCAGUGGGGAAUAUUGGACAAUGGGCGAAAGCCUGAUCCAGCCAUGCCGCGUGUGUGAAGAAGGUCUUCGGAUUGUAAAGCCCUUUAAGUUGGAAGGAAGAGCAGUAAGUUAAUACCUUGCUGUUUUGACGGUACCCAAAGAAUAAGCACCGGCUAACUUCGUG